Molecule: ribosomal RNA, 534 nt
Filed under: uncultured bacterium
Lineage: Bacteria
Description: partial 16S ribosomal RNA
Rfam family: Bacterial small subunit ribosomal RNA
Source: RNAcentral
GAUGAACGCUGGCGGCGUGCCUAAUACAUGCAAGUCGAGCGAACAGACGAGGAGCUUGCUCCUCUGACGUUAGCGGCGGACGGGUGAGUAACACGUGGAUAACCUACCUAUAAGACUGGGAUAACUUCGGGAAACCGGAGCUAAUACCGGAUAAUAUAUUGAACCGCAUGGUUCAAUAGUGAAAGACGGUUUUGCUGUCACUUAUAGAUGGAUCCGCGCCGCAUUAGCUAGUUGGUAAGGUAACGGCUUACCAAGGCAACGAUGCGUAGCCGACCUGAGAGUGCAACACGCAGAACACGACACGAGACGCGGUGUAGACGCCGAGGAGAGGCAGCAGUAGGGAAUCUGCCAGGAUGGGUGAAAGACUGACCGGACGACGGCGGGUGAUUGAAUAAGGUCUUCGGAUAGUAAAACUUUGUAAGUAAGAAAGAAAACAGUUGAAAGUAACUACGACCGUCUUGACGCGACCUAAGCAGACAGCCACGGAUAACUACGCACCAGCAGCGGCAGUAAUAGAAGAGCAGACGUCUGAAC